This 2070-nucleotide long non-coding RNA is filed under the name Mus musculus (house mouse). RNAcentral describes it as "long non-coding RNA chr8:55005712-55007782". Lineage: Eukaryota; Metazoa; Chordata; Mammalia; Rodentia; Muridae. The record is from RNAcentral.
UGACUUCUGUUUUAAUUUUUAGCUUGUUUGCUAUUGAAUUGAGGUCACUGUGAAUCUUUUGUAGUAACUCCUUAUUGGAUUUAUUGCUUUCAAAUUACUUUUUACAAUCAGUUGGUGGUCUCUACCCAUUGUUGUUUUUCCUCUUGAUUUUAUUUUUAAAUCUGUUUUACUACUUUAGAAUCUGCAUAGGAAGAGAUUAUAUGGAGUAAUUUGUUAGUUUGACAAAAUUAUUUGCUUGUCAUCUUUCAAAGGAAUAGGUUGGCUGUAUGUUCACUUCAGUUAUUAGACACACACACACACACACACACACACACACCCCUCAGCUAUGAAGACUGACCUCCUCCUAUGGAUAAUAGUUAAAAUUUUCAUAAAAUAUGCUAUAAUCAUCUAAGUAAUGAAAGAAUAUCUAUAUCAAUUUGAUAGCUAGUCAGGUUGGGCAAAGGUUUAAGAAUAUAGACACAGAGUCCAAGGUUAAAAAUGAAUCUAUUAAAGGUCUAUUCUCUUCAAAUAGACCUUAGAACACUACCUAUAAAAAAUGUCAAAUGGACUAUCACUUCAGAAUUCUUAUAAUGAUUGAACUCACCAUAGCAUCUGAAUUACAUAUAGCAUUUUUAAGACAUAAACACUGCACUUGUCAUCUUAACUGGUAACUUUCUUUAUGAAGAGGAUAAACCCCUACGCAAGAGAUGCUAAGGAAAAAGACUUACUACGGUGGUCCUGUGUAGAUCAUUCCAUCUUUUUCAUAUUUCUUCCUCAAUAUGUGCCAACUCUCUCUCUUUUACCAGUCUAGACUUCAUACUUACCUGAAUCUGAGUAUAUGCUUUUUUUGGGAAAGCUGAUGUUUUAUGAAUUAUGUGGAAAUUUUAGCCAUUGUUUCUGGAACUGCUAAAUGUCCAUUUGAGUUCUAUAGAUGAUGAAUUCAUUCCCUUUUUAAGUUCCUGUUCCUGAAUCUACUGUCCUAACUGGAGCUCCAGUCGUCACUCUUGAGUUAUUAAUAGUGACACCUGAUUCAGGCUCCAGCCUUAUCCUCGUUUAAGACCAUCAAUUACGUUACAAGCAGUGUGGUUUCUUUCAAAUAUAAAUCUAUGUCAGUCUCUGCAGAAAUAAAACUGAAAUUCAUUCUCAUGAAGAAAAGAAGCCUUCCCAGACUUAUCUCACUCCUCUGACAACUCAGUUAACUUCUGUUUUCAUUCUAUUCUUUGGAGCCUAGUAACCUUGGUAAGAAUGGUGUUUCUGCCAGUCUCUCAAAUUGCCUUAUGUUUUGGGACAUUCUUACUCUCUGAUCAUUUUAUAUCUCUCAUGCUUAUGAAUUUCCUGUGUAUUCUAGAAAUAAUAAUGAUAAAGCGUCACCAAUCACUUUUGAUGGAAAUCUGGAAGCACUCUUGUCUGAUGCUUUAUUGAAGUAACCCUCAUCUAUAAGUAUUUGAUGAAUCUCAGAUGAUUUAUUAUUAUGUUUAAUCCCUUAUAUCCUUGAGAAUAUGUACAAAGUAAGUGAAACAGCAUGGAAUUUGGACUUGAAUAUGGAUUGUAGAAUGGCAAACACAUCCAUCUUGAAUUCAGAUAAUGGACUUAGAGUAAUGAAGGGCUUAUGCUAUGAAAUGAAAACUAAAGUCACAGGCUCCAAUUGCUCAGCACCUUGUCAGCCACAGUUGCAGUGUAAAUAUGUGCUGUAGACUUUCACCAAAUGGUCUGGUUUCUUAGAACAAGUUAUGACCACCUCCACAAAUUAUGUCACUUUUGUAGUGAAAUGUUCUUUUUGCAUAAACUAGAAGCUACUAAGAUAAAAGCUACUAAUCUGAAAGAUGUUUUAAUUAAUAUUACAAAAUUACUUGGAUAUCCAUUUUGUCCAUUACCUUACACAUCUAAACCAAAACUGUGAAGGCAUGUGGGCACAGCAGGAGUAUCAAACGCAGCUGAUAUAAAAGUUGAUAGAAUUCCUUGGUCUUACAUAGUCUGGUUCUUAAAUGAUGACUAUUUUUUUCUUUUUUUAUAGAGUUAUAUUUUUUUAAAAAAUGUGUGUAAAUUAGAUUACUUAUUAAAAGCUAUUUUUUCCAGUGUAAGAAAUGUUGU